GUGGCUGACGUACAGAACGCCGGCUGUAUCACCCGGGCGCCGGCGCCGCCUCUCAUCCCCGUAGCUCUCGGGGCGCGCCGGGAGUAGCCGAGCCGCUGGGUGCUGGGCGGGGUCUCCGGGCGCGGCGCGGGGGGAAGGCAAAGGAAAAGAAGGGGCGGCGGGCCGACGUCGGCGGCGAGGAAGGACGGAGGAGCGCCGGAGCCGCUUUGCUGCCCUCCGCGUGGUCCCGUGCCUCCCCGACACCAUGGCCCUGGCUGAGGUAGUAGUUUGUGCUGUUGGUCGGGUUGUGACAUUGCCCGCUGUGGAGAUAACUGCGCAAGCUACUGCCUUGCUAGUGCUGGUGAUGCUCAGCGCCGCGGAGGACAAUGGCUGGGAAUCCCCUUUGUUUUCCGGGGCGCUGCCUGGGGACAGCCCGCGAAGCCUCGGCGCCCGGCCGGCGCGGCCACCACGGAAACCGUUAGUUUCACAUUUUCCUAGAAGGAAUUGAGGGGAGUGGGGUGGACCGCGAUGCAUUUUAAAGGUUGGGAAAGAGCUAAGCCAUUGGAUUCCUUUUCUUGAAGGAAGGAGUGGAAUUGUGUAAGAUAAUUGAUACAGAUAACUUUUUCACCCUAAAAAAUUCUAACACUUCUUUCAGCAGUUAAAUGCCAAAUUUAGUGUGUACCUGUUUUACUUCAUUCUUUAGCUGUAGGUUGGAGUGGUGUGAGCGAUCUGCAGAACUGGCAUUAGAGGGGCAGAAGAAGUAGACCUGAUAAUUAAAGUUUAUGCCUUAACAUUUUAGAUCUGGUUUCUGAUAUGCUCUCUUAGUAAAUCUGAGUGUGUCUUUAAAAACGUAAACCCAAAGCAAUUUAAAGUUUCUCUUUAAACUUUGCAACUCGCGAAUGAGAAGAUUGAAAUUAUUUGUAGGUAAUUGCACUAUUCCGAUUUUUUAAUGUAUGAGGCAAACAAAUAAAUUCUAUGUACAGUGUGCUGUGAAUGGUUUUGUUUUUUGUUUUUUCUUUUUAGUUUAACCUUGGGGCUCAGAUUCUGCUGGUGUGGUGGGUUGGUUUUUUGGUUUUUAUGGCCUUUGAUUCUAAUGUUAUGUGGUACUUACAUCUUUGAGGUUUUGUAUGGGAGAAGAGGACUAGGAAUUGAAAGUGGUUUCUAGAUUUGAGUUUAAAAUCUACUAACACUCAUUUUGAUUCCUGAGUGGCCACUACUCCUAAUAGGAAAAUACCUUUGCAUAGAGAAAAAAGGUAGUUUGGAUAACUAAUGAAAAUACUCAGUGCUCUAAUACCCUGAAGUCUGCGUGGAAAACAAGAUACUUGUAUUUUUAUUUUAUUUUCACUGAGGGAAGUAAGUGGUCAGUUUUAGUACUUUUCGUUGAAAACUGAUCUGUAUUUGUACAGAAUAAGUAGUUUUGAAUAUAAUGUAAUCGCAGUUUUCUAUGGUUUUCUGAUGCUCAGUUGAAAAACAAAUAAGGCAGUUCUUUAAACCAACCAAACCCUUCAGCAGGAGUUUGAUGCUUUUAUCAUUCAAAAGUGAUCUAAUAUAUGUGCCUUGAUUGGGUUUGGUUUAGCCUUGAGAAUAACCUUACUUAAUCUGAUCUCAUCAGGAUGGAGCCGCCUCAUUGUGGGAAGGGCGGUGAAGAACCUUAUCUUGAAUCUUAAGAUGCAGAAAAUGCUUGAAUGUUGGCUCUUGAAGUUUGCUUUUCUUGAUAGCAACGCAGAGUAAAUUCAGGGCUUUGUUAAGUGCUUGUUUUCUUAAAUAAUGAAAACCUCUGCGGUGCUGUGUCAAAUCUUGGUUUAUGGAGAAACUAAUCAUAACAUGCUAAUUUCAUUAUGAUUUUAUUUUCCAAAACACUUCAUUCAACCAACCGAGGUAAUCUUCCAACCCACUACACUCUAACAUUUUUAUGGAGAAUCAACGGUUGUUAAUCUGCACCCCAAAGUAUAACAAAUUCUGCUGGUAAUUUAAACUUUAAGCGGAUAAGCACACCAGAAAUGCUCAAUGUCCUAUACAGAUAAACUAUUCAUACUUUAUAUCUUGUGUUUUUAAAGUAAAUUUUAUCCACAACUACAUAUUGCCCAAAUAGUAGUAACAUUUUUGAGUUAUUGGAUGUAAAGGUACUUUGAGAGGUUAACUGUUUCCUAAGUUACAAGAGAAAAUACUGCCACCAGCUGACUUGUUUUAAUCCCAUAGCUAUAUUUCUGCUCUAAUCUCCAGUUUUAAAAAUGAUCUGCUAAUUACAUUUCUCUACACACCAACUGAAAAUUACCAACUGAACAUUUUCCUUGUUGACAGUUUCCCACAAGAUGAAUUUGAUUUAUCAAAAAUACAGCUUUCUGAACUUAGUAUUAUUGACAUUUACUUGGUGCAGUUAACUUUUUUGUUAAAGGUCUGUUGUCAAGCAUUUAAGUAAUUUGUAGUUGUAAAAAGCCACUGGUGGAAAGUAAUAAGGCAGUAUUUUGAGUGCCCUUCUCAAUAAGUACAUACUAAACCAAAGGAAAGCUGGGUUAUGGUAAUAACAUUUUAAUAAAUGUCAUCCUCAAUUGGAAAUGGAGACUGUGUUAUGGUAUAUAGGACACACCAUAUGGAGAAGAUUCUUGGAGAACACAGUUUUGCUUCAUACUUUAAAAUUCCUGAUUGCUAAUCUUACAUAGAAAAGCUUUGUUUACAAGCUAUUUUAAAAUAACCUUUUGGCAGGUAGGCAAGACUGACUGGCAAGGGUGCACUCAAGACAUUGUGUCUUGUGGAGUGGUCCCCAAAGAAUUCCUGACAGAGGCACCUGACAGCACAAAUUAGCUCUUCAGUGUAUAAGCACAAAGCACCAAAAAGGCUGAGAUUUCUUCCUAGCUACAUGCUCUCUCCCGCUAUUGUUUAUUACACUCCACCCGCUCCAUGGUGAAGCUGACAAAGGAGAUACUAUUAAUUUCCUUUCCCACUGAAUAAUCCCCUCUGUAAUUUCUACAACAAAAGGUAAAUAGGACAAUCAUCUUCGAAAAUGAAUUAGGCCAGAUUGGUAGUACCCAAAAGGAGAAUUAAUGACCAUUGUCAUAAACUCUGAAAAGCUGUUGGCGCUACUGAUAAUCUAGAUAAUUAAGCAAAAAUUUGAAAAUUAUUUCUAAGAUUGUCUAAUGAAGUUCACUAAGUGUUUUUGUUAGGUUAUCACUAUUGGGCACCAUGGGGAAAGCAAAAUAAUUGUAUAGCUAGGUCAUUGCCCCAAAGGAAAACAGGAAAGAUGUCACAUGAAGUGUUUAAGAAUCAAAAUGUAAUUAGCUGAGUGUGGUGGUGCCUGCCUGUAGUCCCCGCUGAGGUGGGAGGAUCUCAUGAGCCCAGGACUUUGAGGCUGCAGUGAGCCAUGAUUGCACCACUGCAGCCUGGGCAACAGAGUGAGACUGUCAAAAAAAAAAAAAAAUCAAUGUGAGCUCAGUGCAGUGAUGUGCACCUAUAAUCCCAGGUACUCUGGAGGCUGAGGCAGGAGAGUCACUGGAGCCCAGUAGUUUGAGACCUGCCUGGACAAAAUAGUUGAGAUUCUGUCUCAAGAAAUUAAAUAAAUAAUCAAAAUGUGGGCAGGUGAGAAAAACAUUAGUGACCUACUUCACUUUUGAGACCUGGCAGAAAAGUGAUUGAAUGAGCUAAGGGGGAAGGGAAGUAUGGAACACUUCAAAUAGUAUAGUAAUUUAGGGAGUUCUUUUGGUUAGGUUUGUUGCCUGAGAUCUUGGAGAUGACAAUCGCAGUGAUAAUGAUACUCUAGGUGAUUUACAGUUUAGUUUCAUAUUAUCUGCUACAAAUACGCUGGGAGUGUCAUCAGAAUUAAAAGAAAUAUUAGCAGUUCUACAUGGAAUUUAUGUGUUUUCUUAUCUCAAGUUGAAAAUUUUUUUUUUGGUUAAAUUUGUUUUACAUUUACCUUUCUUUAAAAGUGCUGUUUUGUUCAGAUGUAAUGGAAUUGUGCCUACACAGGAUUUUUGGCCACUAAAUUUGUGAAUAGGGUCCUUUAAAGGCAUACUAUUGACACCCGAUAGUGUAACUUUAGUCUUUUAGUUAUAUCAAAUAUGAACAAACCUAAGACACAAUCUUGUGUUUUUAAGGAUAAGUUCCUAGUUCUUUCCUCUUAUUCAACAUCAAACAACACUUACAGAAAAUAUUAUUUUCUUCGAAUCAGGUUUACAAAUUCCGUUAGUUCCAUUAUAAUAUAAUUGAGAGUAUUUUAUCAUGGAAGUCAGGAGUUCGCAGAAAGCCAAGCUGUGUGAUAUGUCACAGAAAAUUCAAGUAAAUUAAGGACUAAAAACUGUCCACAGACAUUGACAGUUUAGAUCAUAUAUGUAGUUGUAAUGUGUUUUCUGUUAUACCUGAAAAAUCCCUUAACUGCUCUUAGGUUGAGUAAUAAACAAUUAACGGGUGUUUUAUCUCACUUUGAACAUAACUACCAAAAAGGUAUUAAGAUUCAGAGAUUGCUGUUUUAAUAUUCUGCACAUAGUGUAUUUUAAAGCCCUUGUUAAACAGAAGUAUUAUGUAGAUACAGGCAUGGGCUAGUUUUAGUCAUAAUAGUAACACUGACUUAAUGUUACCGUAAUAGAUGGCCGAAAGAGUUGACUAAACUCUAAAAACAGAUACAUAAGCAAAUUAAAGUAUAUUUUUCUGUUUUAAAAACAAAUUUACAUACUUUUUAAGAGUUCGGACGAAAAACCUAAGAAUAAGAAUCCUAUCUGCCAUUCAUUUCUUUUUGUAGUGAAUGAAGCUUAUACAGAAUAAAUAAGUUCCAGAUAAAUUCAACAGGUGAAUCGGAUACCUGCUCUAUGUCAGGUGCUGGGAAUAUACAGAAGAUAAAACAAAAACAAACACAAAAAAACCAACUCCACAUUAUGGAAUUCACAUUGUAAAAGGAAUACAUUUCCCUAUAAUAAUAAUUACAGACAUGUAGUGAGGACAAUCCAUGGGCCACCUGAGUUGUUUUCAAACCUGAGUUCCACUCAUACACCUGUUCUAGAGCCCUUGCUCCAAAACCACUAUUGAUAUUCCAGUUGUAUGUUUUAAAAAAGCCAUUUCCCAUUGAUUUUUGUUAUAAUUGUACCUAUUUUUUUUAAAAAAAGAUGAUAAUUUAGUUUCACCAGGGCUGUUUUCUUUCUUUCUUUUUUUUUUUUUGAGACGGAAUCUUGCUCUUGUUGCCCAGGCUGGAGUACAAUGGCACGAUCUCGGCUCACUGCAACCUCCACCUCCCAGGUUCAAGCAAUUCUCCUGCCUCAGCCUCCUAAGUAGCUGGGAUUACAGGCGCCCGCCACCACGCCCAGCUAAUGUUUGUAUUUUUAGUAGAGAUGAGGUUUCACCGUGUUGGCCAGGCUGGUCUCGAACUGCUGACCUCAUGAUCCGCCCACCUUGGCCUCCCAAAGUGCUGGUAUUACAGGCAAGAGCCACCGCGCCUGGUCAGCCAGGGCUGUUUUCUAUCUCCUAAACAGGAUAACACUGCAGGAGGUACUUCACCUUUAAGAGCUUACAAUGUUGUAGCAAGUGCCCAACUACCUUGUGGAGGAAUCUAGACCCCAUAGCCAGACAUCACAUUUUAUGAUGUACACUCUAAACAUGGUAAAAGUUCAAAGAAGCAGGAGUGCACUGUGAGUAGGUAGAGAAUGCAUCUCUCUGGAGCAGAAACGUCAGAUUAUUUUAACAGUAUAAGCUAUGGAGAGCGAUUAUGAGCCUUGUGGUGCCUGAGAACAGGAAAGAAAGAAGUAUCCUACCUUCCUUAUAUAAUUUAUACCUCGGGGUAACUAAAUGGUUGUGAGGGAGAUUUCCUCAUUACAGAAUAAUUCCAGUUUCACAGUGCAGAACGUCUGAUAGAAUGUUAACAUUUACAACAGCUCAUGAAAUAAAGCUAGACCUCUUCAAUGGCUAACUUAAUGGUUGAAACCAUUAAGUAAAAUGCUGAUGGAGAAGUAUGUGAUUAAUGAAUCAGUAGUAGAGAAGUAUUUAAUUCAUGGAUCAGGGCAACCGCACUUCAACUCACUGAUCAAUUUUAAUAUUACAAAAACAGAUAACUAGAUAUUCUAGUUCAAAUAAUUGAACUAGAUAGUGGUUUACUAAGACUCUAGACUCUCAUCAAGUUUCUAGAUCUGAUGAGUAGUUUAUUAGAAAUUUAAGAUAUAGGGGAACAUUGUUAAAUCACCACAGGAGCACAAGUAGCAAAAAUCCACACUGAAAUUCUAUAAGACAAAUGAUCUAAGGAAAAAAAAUUUUUAAGGAAAGAAGGGCAGGAAAACCUGUAGAGUAAAAUGAAUUUAAAGAUAUUUAUCGGUUUAAUUGCAAUGUAUAGACCUUGUUUGGAUCCUAAUUUGAUCAAAGCUAACCACAAACACAUUUAUGAGACAAUUGGAGAAAUUUUAAAACUGACUGAAUAUUAGAAGUUAAAGAAUUGUUUUUGAAAAUGGUAUUGUGGUUAUAGUUUUUAAAAAUCUUUUGGUAUAUGCAUACUAAAUAAUUUACUAAUGAAUGAUAUGAUCGGACUUUGCUUCAUACUUUAAUCCAUGGGGGAUGGGAAGCAUAUAUGGGAGUACACAGGAAAGAAGCUUGUCUUAGUGUUGGUAUUGAUGAUGGGUGAUGGGUAGAUGGGUUUUUUUAUUCUGUUCUACUUUUGUGUAUAUUUAGAAUGUUCCAUAAUAAAAACUCAAAAACACGUAAAACAAGACAAAGAAAGAUUCCUGUGGUUUGGAGACAACCAAAGCAAAGUGAGAACACAUACAAAACCAUGUGAAGGUCAGUAAGGUGCAGCUAAGUGUUCUUAGGGUAUCCUCCCAGGCCACUUUGAAAUACUACCUUGAAGUCUAUCAGAGGAUCAGUCCAUUUUCCUUAUACUCCAGAUCAAAUAUAUUGACUAAUAUAGUGCAAGUUCACACAUACCCACAACAAGGAUACCAUUGUUUAAAUAUAUCUAUUAUAAUUAAAACUAGUAAUUAGAAUUAAUAAGAGAUGUGUUGAGAACUUUUACUAAGUACUUUGUAUGUAUAAAGUACUUGCUUUAAUGUUAGCCUAUUAAACUUAAUAACUUUCCAUUUUAAAUAUUAUUUUUCUAGUUCCAUAGUCUUUUUCUAGAAGUAUGCCUUAUUUCACAUUCUUAAACAAGUACUCUAAGCAAAAUCAGCUCACUAAAAAAAUUUGUUUGGCUUUAACUGCUUUCAAUAAGCUUAGUUCUGUUUUUCCUCUUUUAUUUUGUUAUUCCUCCUGUCUAACUGAAACUUUGUACCCUUUAGCCAACAUCUCCCCAGUACCUUACCCCCUCUGUCUAUAAGCCCCUGGUAACACUAUUCUCUCCUUUCUGCUUCUCUGAGUUUGACUUUUUUAUAUUCCACAUAUAAAUGAGAUCAUGUAGUAUUUGUCUUUCUAUGCCUGGCUUAUUUAGUGUAAUGUCCUCCAAGUUUAAACAUGUCGUUGCAAAUGAUAGAAUGUUUGUCCUUUUAAAUGGAACUCUAAUAAUUGUUCUAGCAAUUUAUUCGAUUUUUUGUUUCCAGUUAGAUUCCUUUUUUCUUAACCUUCUUUGUGUGUGUGUGUGUGUGUGUGUGUGUGUGUGUGUGUGUUUAGACAGGGUCUCACUGUCAUCCAGGCUGGAGUGCAGUGGCGUGGUCACAGCUCACUGCAACCUUCAACUCCCAGGCUCAAGCGAUCUUUCCACCUCAGCCUCCUGAGUAGCUAAGACUACAGGCACACGCCACCACCCCUGGCUAAUUUUUGUAUUUUUUGUAGAGACAGGGUUUUGCCAUGUUGCCCAGGCUGGUCUCAAAACUACAGGGCUCAAUUGAUCGCCCACCUCCGUCUCCCAAAGUGCUGGGAUUAUAGGUGUGAGCCACCGCGCCCAGCCCCCAUCAAUAUAUGUUAACACUUAGCAGUUAGUUCAUUGUGCAUCUACAUAUUACCAGUGUUAUUAAUCUAAUUUAAAUAUUUAACUGAGUGCUGUUACUGCUUUGAAUAUAUUAGCACACUACAAAGGUAAAAAAAUAUAACCAACCUGUGGAUCAAAAGAAACAAUGAUUUUGCAUUUUACUAAGCACAGAAAUUAUCAUGUUUUUGAAUGUGUACCACAAAUGCCAGGCAUACACACACAUAUAUAAAUAAGGUUGAAGGAGGCCGGGCGCGGUGGCUCACGCCUGUAAUCCCAGCACUUUGAGAGGCCGAGGCAGGUGGAUUACUUGAGGUCAGGAAUUCGAGAGCAGCCUGGCCAACAUGGUGAAACCUGGUCUCUACUAAAAAUACAAAAAAUUAGCCGGGCAUGAUGGUGCAUGCCUGUAGUCCCAGCUACUGGGGAGGCUGAGGCAGGAGAAUCGCUUAAACCCCAGAGGUGGAGGUUGCAGUGAGCUGAGAUCGUGCCACUGCACUUCAGCCUGGGUGACAGAGUGAGACUCUAUCUAAAAUAUAUAUAUAUAUAAGGUUGAAGGAAUAAACACAUUGAAGCAUUAUUACAAAUAUAAGAUACUUUUUUUUCUUUUCUUGUUUAAAAAUAAAUAGAGGCAGGGUCUCACUUUGUUGCCCACGCUGGUCUUGAGCUCCUGGGCUCAAGUGAUCCUCCUGCCUCAGCCUCCUAAAGUGCUAGGAUUACAGGCGUUAGCCACCACACUUGGCCAAGAGAGUUCUUUCAAAUUUACCAAUAUUAUCACUAUUAAAUAGCUUUUAUUUUGAAGUAUAUAUCCUAGUGACUUUUUAACUUCAUAUAUCUUAUCCUGUAUAUACGUAGUGAAUCACUAUCUGGACUCAUUAGUUAGACGUUGAACUUAGCCGUGACCUUAUCUACUACAUACAUGGGCAUUUUCUGUUGUUAUUAACCCUGGGACUUAAGUUGCCUUAGAAAUAUUAAUGAUAAUUGCUAUAUGUAUAGAUGUUACCACUAAUAUCUUUAGUAUUCUCUGCUGACUAUCCAUGAACCCUGUGGAGUUUAUUAUGCUGGAAGUCACAGUGUAUUCCUUAAACCCUUCUGAUUCUGCCUUAUGGCCUCCUCCCUUGUUGAGUAUCUUCUUAAAAGGAAUCAGAAACCACUCUUCCCACAUUCUCCAAUAGUCAAGUCACACCAUGAACACGGUUCCAAGAAGCGGAAAGGUCCUCUACCACUUCAAGGAAAUUAGGAAGAAAAAAAAAGAGAGAAAAACAACGUGUUGUUCCAGAAGGUAGUAUGCAAGUUCUCAAAUGACCUCUAGGCAUUUUGGUUCAAGGUCCAUCUUUUUCCUUUAUCAUGUCACUCUUCUUUUUUCCUAUUAAAGAAUAAUUUUUAUAUCUUUUUAUGUGACUGGUAAAAAUAAUAUUCCCCUUCUCCAAAAGUCAUGGUCAGUUAGCUAUAUAAAGGUAGUUGGUAAUGAAACUUCAUGUUCUUGUGGUUUUUAAAAUACAGAGUCUCACUCUGUUGCCAAGGCUGGAGUGCAGUAGCAUGAUCAUGGCUCACUGCAGCCUCGACUUCCUGGGCUCAAGUGAUCCUCCUGCCUCAGAGCCUUGAAUAACUGGGACUACAGGUGCACAUCACCACAUCCAACUAAUUUUUAAAAUUUUUUGUGGAGACAGAGUCUCACUCUGUUGCCCGGGCUGGUCUUGAACUCCUGAGCUCAAGUGAUUCUCCCAUCUCAGCCUCCCAAAGUGCUGGGAUUACAGAUGUGAGCCACCAUGCCCAGCCUUGUUUUUUUUGUUUUUUGUUUUUUGUUUUUAAUGUAAGAAAAGGUAAGAAAAAUAUGGUGGUGGUCUUACAGGUACAUAUGUGGUUUAUGCACUGUGAAGCUGUUGAAAGGAGUGGAUGAUGAUGAAAUGCAUGCAGUUGAGCUAGGCUCAGUGGAAAGUCAUGUUGGGGAACAGAUGGAGUUUUGAAGUGCUAAGAGAAUGAUUUAAUGAAACUGGGGUCAUAAAAUUGCUAGAAAGAAUGUAGGCUGAUUUCUUCCAGAAUUUAAAGGCUCUGGGAAUAGGAAGCCAGAAGAGUAAGAACAGAAACAGAUCAGCUUGAACACCAGAGUUGCGCCUUUGGAUGAACUCUGGGGAAAGGGUAUGUUUUCAGAGAAAAAUAAAAAAGGAUCUGGGAUCAUUUACUCUAUCAUUUGUUUAACAAUUAUUAGUGUGUGUGUGUGUGUAUGUGUGUGUAUAUAUAUAUAUUUUUUGAGAUGGAGUCUAGCUCUAUUGCCCAGGCUAGAGUGCAAUGGUGCGAACUCGGCUCACUGCAACCUCUCUCUCCCUCCUAGGUUCAAGAGAUUCUCCUGCCUCAGCCUCCCAAGUAAUUGGAAUUACAGGCCCAUGCCACCCCACCCGGCCAAUUUUUUUUGUAUUUUUAGUAGAGAUGGGGUUUUGCCAUGUUGGCCAGGCUGGUCUCAAACUCCUGACCUCAAGUGAUCCGCCAGCCUCGGCCUCCCAAAGUGCUGGGAUUACAGGCACGAGCCACCAUGCCGGACCUAUUAGUGUAUUUACUGGAUAUCAAGAUGACUAAGAAAUAGCACUUGCCUUGAAGGAGCUUUUCUAUUUGAGGAAAAAGACAUGUAUAUAAAUAACUGCAAACAGAAUGAAACAAGUGUUAUGUAGAUCUACAUACAGUGACAUGCCAUGGGAAUGCUGAACACUGAGCAACAGUUUCAACUAGCGAAUUGGCACAGGAAACAUGAAAAAUAAGCGUAUUUUCAAUAUGACAAGAAUGGUCAUUUCUGGAUAUAAGAACAAGAGAAAAGUCAUGGGUAUAUGGAAAGGCAUGGACUCUUCAAGGAAGAGCAAGUAGUCUAAUGUAGAUGCUGUAUAGGAAUCUGGGGACAAAGGGACAGAUAAGUGGUGUAGACAAAGAGGCUGGAAAUAGGGUUAUGGGCUAGAUCAUGAGUGACCUGUAAGCAUUAGGAGUUUUGAUUUAUUUUGGAAUAAGAAACAUUUAUGGCUUUUGAGAAGGAAAAUUACACAAGGGAAAAGAAAGGAUUUUUAUUUUUUAUUUUUAUUUUUGGAGAGAUGAGAUCUCACUAUGUUGCCCAGGCUGGUCUUGAACUCCUGAACUCAAGCAAUCCUCCCGGCUCGGCCUCUGAAACUUCUAGGAUUAUAGGCGUGAGCCACUACGCCCAGCCAGGAUUAUGUUUUUUUAUGGGAGGGAUGAGAAUAUUGGUAGGUGGGUAGAGGAUAAAUGAGAGAGAAUAUGUAUAUGUGAGAUUGAAUAUAUAAUAGAAAAAAUUGAUAGGACAAGUCCUGCGUUAUUACUACAUUUUAUGAGGAAAAUCUAUAUAUUAGAAGCACUUUAAAGGUAUAUUUGCUAUUCUAGCUGUGGAAACCAUCUGAAAACACAUUUGAAAGUGCUUUGAAACAGGGGUCAACUUCUCUGCAAAGGGCCAGAGUAUGUUUAGCUUUGCGGGCCACAGAUGGCCUCUGUUGCAUAUGCUGCUGGGUCUCCACCUUCCUCCUCCUUUUCUUCCCUUCCUCUUCCUUCUUUUUCUUCUUCUCUUUCUUCUUUCUCUUUAAAAGCAUAAAAUCAUUCUCAGCUCUUGGGCCAUACAGAAACAGGCCAUAGGCCAGAUUUGACUUCUAGGCCAUAGUUUGCCGACCCUCCAUUUUAGAACUUAGCUUUCCUGAAAGAGCAUUUGGGUCUCUCUCUCUCUUUCCCUUUCUCUCUCUCUGUCUCUCUCUCUCUCUCUUUCAGUAAGUGAAGUAAGAAAUAGGUCUUUCUUGAGGAACAAAAAGCUGAAAUAAUUUCAUGCAUUUGAAUAUGACCCUUGACCUGUUUUUGUCCAUCAUCACUCAGAUUUGUGGCUGCAACCACCAACCAAUUUGGUGCCAUAGGAUAUAGCAUAAUUUUUCAGCAACAGUUCAUAAGCUUUUCUUUUUGUUCUUUUUCCUUCUUCCAGUUGUGGUGGUUUAAAAACAUGUCUGCAAAAUCUUUGACACUUCUCAGUAAAAAAUAUAGUCUUGUGUUCCCUUUUCUUGAACCUAAGUGGCCUUUGUGCUGCCUCAACAAAUAGAAUAUGACAGAAAAGACACUAUGUGACUUUUGAGACAGGGUCAUAAGAGGUGAUACAGCUUCCCCAUGCCCCUGCAUUUUAGAGCUCUGGGUUGCCAUGUAAGAAUAGCUACCCUGAAGCUACCAUGCUGAAGAGACCACAGGGAAAUCACAUAGAGUUAGAAAGAGGUGUCUGAAGAAGCCCAGCUGCUCCCAAUCCCAGCUAUUUAAGUCCUCCCAGACCAGGUGCCAUAUAUAUGAGUGAGCAAGCCUUCAGAUGGUUCCAGCACCAGCCACCAUCUAGCUGUAAGCUCAUGAGACCCCUUCAACGAAAACCAUCUAGAUUAGCUUAGUCAAGCCCCAGAACCGUGAAAGACAAUAGACUUGCUAUGGAGGUCGCCACAUGCCUCUUUUUUCUCCCUUUGUGAAUGGGAUUAUUUAUAAUGGUUACCCCAUACCUACUCCACUAUGUAUAUUGGGUAUGAGGGAGAGAUAAUUUGUCUCACUAGCUGACAGAUUUUUCAGACCUCAAGGAAUGCCACGUGAGCUGUACUCACAGGACCACACACAAGUAUCUUUAUCCACACGUGACCUGAUUUCACUGAUAAAGUCCUGGACCUUGAGCCUGAGCCCAAUGUCUUAAUAAAUGAGAAUUUCAGAAGGUCUUGGGAGGGGGUGAGUAUAUUUUGCAUGUGGGAAGGAUGUAAAUAAUAUGUGGCCUGAGAGCAGAUUAUGGUGGUUUGAAAAUGUGUCCACCAAUUCUUUAAUACUACUCUCAACAAGAGGUGGAAUCUGUGUCUCUUCCUUUGGAACAUGAGUGGACCUUUGUGAUUAAAUGCAGCAGAAGGAUGCUGUGUGAACUCUGAGACAGGGUAAUAAGGGGUGAUACAGCUGCCACCUAGUUCUUUCUCAGAACAUGUGCCUUUGGAGCCCUGAGCUGCCAUGGAAGAAAACCACCUACCCUGAAGCCACAACACUGGAAAGACCAUGUGGAAGAACCACAGAGAGAGAGAAGAGGACCAAAUGUGUGAGCCUUCCCAGCCCAGGCUCCAAAUAUGCAAGUAGUAAGCCUUCAUUUCUUUUUGGUUUUAAUUUUUUUUUUUAAAUAAAUCGAAAUGGGUUCUCACUAUGUUGCCCAGGCUGGUCUUGAACUCCUAAGCUCAAGUAAUCCUCCUACCUCAGUCUCCCAAAGUGCUGGAAUUGUAGGCAUGAGCCACCAUGCCCGGCUGCAAUUAGUAAGUCUUCAGAUGCUUCCAUCACCAGCCACCAUCCGAUGACAACCCCAUGAAUGACCCUCAGCAAGAACUACCUAGCUGAAUCCAGCCAAACUCCAGACCCAUGAGAGAGAAAUAAAAUUGUUGUUUGAGUCACUAAAUACGGAGUAAUUUAUAUUAUCAACAGAUAACUGGAACCACAAGUGUAAUUGUUAAAGGUAAAACUUUGAAUACAUUUAUAUUUGCCUUCUGCCACAUUCCAUAAUUGACUUUUGUUCAUGAACCUAUUGGCAAGUUUGCCUUAUUGCUUUUCCUUCUUCCCUCUUUUUUUUUUUUGUAACUUAAAAAAUCAUAUAAUAAAACAACACAAAAAUGUAUUUGAAUGUAGGUUGAGUGACCGUAAAUAAGCACAAAACUUCUCCUUCCUGUGACUCUCUUGUCUGUAUAUGCCAAGUAUCUAACACAAGGCCUGCCUGGCACAUAAUUUUUUUUUUUAAAUGUUAGUCUCUUUUAUCAUUCUUUUUCCCUGUCAGUGGUAUUAUCUUUACCCAUGGAAUCCAGCACCCUCAUGCUGACUUAUAGUUCCCCAAAGUCCCUAACCUCUACAGUCCUCUCCAACCCCCACCCCAGGCCUCUCUCUAUGUUCCAGACAUUUUCUGGCUUUUUACCAUUAUCCAAACUCUGAACUUAUCUACUUAGUUUUUAUAAAAAAACACAGAGUGACUACAUAGCUAAUAUAAAUAAUGCCAGUGUUAACACAAAAAUUUGACUUGAAUGAUUACAAUAGCAAACUUCAAUGUUUACCCCAUGGAAUAGGCAGAAAAUUUCAAGCACUUUUCUAGGCCACCUGAGUCUAUUUUGAGUAAGGAUCCUUAAGUUGAUACUCAAGUAAUGACAUUGAUGCAAUGUAGAAGACUAUGCUAAAAUUUGUCCUGGCUUCUCUCCAUGCUAUGGGCCAUCUGUAAAGCUUUGGAGUCUAGGUCAGAUGUAUGCGUUGUCUCCUCUUUGCUACCAUUUUUGUACAGAUUUCUAAUCUAAAUAAAAUUAAUGGCAAUAACAGUGUGGAAAGGGAAAGCCUAAAAGAAAGAGGGUUUUUGAAGAGUGGGGGACCAGAAAAGAAGAGGACAAUUUUACCUGAAUUGUUUUACUUUAGAAAAUAAAUUUGUUCAUGUGAUUCUGUGAGUCAAUUUACACAUGUAUAUAAAUACACAUUUCUUUAUUUAACCAUUAUUAUUAUCACUAUGUGAUCCCUCAAUGUGCUGGCUACCACGGGUGUAAGAUAAAUUACAGAAACUCCUUAUUCUGAAGGAUUCCAACAACAAUUUGGCAUUGUGCACUGUAUGGGGCCUGGGAAAAUCCUCUGAUUUGCCAUACCUUAGGAAAGGUCUUUGCAUGAUACUAGGCCAUGUCUCUUACUACAAUGAUGAGCAUUCUUAGAUUUAAAAAUAAUACCAAGCUGUCAGGAAAACUGAAUUCCAUCAAUAAUAACAUCUUUUCAUAAACUGAAAGCUUGCAAAGCCUUAAUUAAAAAAAUGAAUUUAUUACUAAGUGAAUUUAAUUCACAAAAGGAAUUUUCCCCAAUAUUUAGGCUGUUGUUGGUUUUGGCUUUGUUUUUAAUUAACAUUUUUAGUUGUAUGGUUUGAUCAAAUACUGAAUUUGAGUUCAAAGAUACAUUUCCUCUGAGGAUGCAGUCUAAAGAGGCCAAGUAAAUAAUAGAAAAUCAUAGUUUCCAAGUUUCGCAGAACAAAGCUCAGUAGUUCCAUGACUUUUUCAGUGUUCUACAGAAUUGAGCUACUCCCUCUUACACAAAAAAGUGCUCUAAUUUUCAUUUUUUUCUUCUUUGCUCAGUUUCUUCAUUUAUUUGCCUACUUUCUUAAUUUCUUCCUAAGUAAAUAUAUAGCUAUCUUUGAGGAGAAGUGAUGUAACAUCAGAAACAAAGAGUAGACUCACAAUUAGAGCCCACUGACUCAUGGGACUUUAGAUAAACCACUAAUCAGGAAACUGGGGGUGUUAAUGCUGUUUAGUUAGUUGAUUGAGGAGGUGAGGACAAAACCUGGUGACUUCAGGGCCUCAGCAACAGAACUCCUACCUAUUUCCAUUGCUACCACUUACCUUAUGGGCAUUAGAUAAUUCUGCAGUGAGUUAUUCUGUGCAUGAGGGGGCAAAGGCUUUAGAGUCAGGUAGCUGGGGAGUUAUUUUCUCUCUCUGCUAUUUAAUAGCUGUAUGACCUCAGGUGAAUUUCUUAAUCUCCGUUUCCUUGUUUGUAAUACCCAUCAUGAGAAGUUGUUCUGAGGAUCACAGAUACUAUACCUAAAGUACCCAACAAAGUCCUGACACAAGGAAGGUGUUCCAUAAACGGUAGCUAUUUGAAGUAGUCUAAAAGGUCCCUUUCAAAUGUUUAAUACACCCAUAUAAUCCCAAUCUUAAUCUCUCACUCUCUUGUUGGCCCAUCAUUAGAGCACCAGAUCCCCUUGACUGCUUUCCAGGGUAAGGAUGCAAGACCACUGAGAACUGUGCCGCGCUGGUAAGAAGAGGUGCUGAUGGCAUGCUGUUGCCUCUGCCAGACAGACUCUGUCUUUGCUGAAGUGUUUAGUAUUGCUAUUGUGGCAAAUGCCAUUUUAGUCAAAGGCAAUAAAUCUUCCUUUGUUUAAAUGACAGAUGGCUAGGAUUGUUACUUCUGUUUCUAGCAAACCCAGAAAGGGAAAAAAUAAAUUACUGACAUUCAGAGUUCUUGUUUUUUAAGAAUAUUAGGGGGAAAAUGAAAAUAGUAUAGUUUCAGCAAAGUUAUAUAGUUUUUGCAGUCAACAGAAUAAUGGGCCCCCUAAUGAUGUUCACGUCCUAACCCCUAGAAUCUAUGAAUAUGUUAGGUUACAGGGCAAAGGGGAAUUAAGAGUGCAGGUGGAAUUAAGAUUAAUUAGCUGACCUUAAGAUAGGGAAUGUAGCAUAAUUUAUCCAGGUGAGCCCAAUAUAAUCACAAUGGAAGACAGAGACAGAAGAAUCAGAGUCAGAGAAGACGUGGCUACAGAGGAGAGAGUGAUGAGAUGUGAGGAUUCUGCCUGCCAUUGCUGGCUUUCAAGAUGAAGGAAGGGGGCCAUGAACCAAGGGGAUGCCUCUAGAAGCUGGAAAAGGUAAGGAAACAGAUUCUCACCUAGACUUCCAGAAAGCUCUGCUGUUGCCUUGAUUUUAGCCUAGUGAGACCCAUUUCAGACUUCCGACCUCCAGUACGUGAAGAUAAUACAUUUGUGUUGUUUUAACCUAUUAAGUUCUAAAAUGGUGAACCCAAUUUCAUUUCUUCUCUCCCUUUACAAGGUAGGUGCUAUUAACAGUGAAAUGACAAUGCAAAAGCAAAGCAGAGGAAAGCACCAGCAAAGGACAUGCCUCGCUGACUGCAGAUUACAGUGUCCUCUACUCAAUUCCUAUCUUAAUAUGUAUCACAUGCCCUGCCUGAGAUAAUGAGGACUCUCCCAUUCCCUCAGUCUUCAGGUUGCCUCUACUUCUCUUCCAUUUUCUUUUUCCUUGAUAUGAUCCUCUUCUUUCUCAUUCUUCUCUUCUUUCAUUUCCUGAGUUGUUUUCUCUCCACUUCUUCCCCCUCUACUCUGAUAGGAAAUAUUAUAGCAGUAGCCCAAGCUAGAAGAAAAAGGACACACCUACCAGCUCCCUCCCUCCCUCACAACACCUACACGGCUGCUGGGGAAGCCUUGAAUGAAAGCUAGAAAAGAACAAAUAGGAAAAGAGGCAUUUGAAAACAGAACAGAAAUAGUCACAGACGGGUGACAGGCAGGAGAUGCCACCUCAUUGACAGCUGCCACCAUUUUCCAUAGAGAAGUUAUUCCAUUGUAGUAUACACCAGGGCUGGGUUUAAAUAUUUUUCCUAUGUACUUGGUAGUAUAGUGGAAGCUCCUCCAUUUCUCUAAAUAGUUAACUGCAUACUUAGAGCUCUUGGUAGCGUUUAGAACACGGAGUUAAUUAUUCUGAGUGUACCUAGCCCCAUCACUGUCUGUAAUCUGUACAAAAUUUGAUAAGCCCUUUUAAGGUAGUUAGAUAUUUAUUGAGACUCUGCUGUAUAUUUGGCAGUGCCCCAGAUAUAGGUAGUGGUGGUGACAGCAAGCAAUAGGACCAGUGGAGCCUGCUUUUUAAUAGAGAGUGAUCUCUCUGGUAUUGUUGUAAGUACAGCAUAUAAGCAACUUGAGGUGUUGUCUUAAAGAUGUGAGCUCACCUAAUUUACACAAGAGCAUCAAAGCCAGAAUUCCUCCCCUUGCUGAUGUUAGCCUGUAACUCUGUGCCUCUCAAGUGUAUAACUUCUUCUGUGGGAAUCAUGCUUCUGAAGCAUGAGGAAAGAACACACCCGUGUUUCCACUUUCUCUGCUGCUUUGCAUGUGAUCCCUCCAGGUAUGCAAAAUAAUGCCUCAAUAUCAUUUUGACCUGUGUUGUCAUUUUACAUAUUUUAUCAGAAGACUUCAUAUCGGAUGGAAGCAAAUCUUUAGAAGGGUUGUUAUAACAACUUGAACAGCCCAUCAUGCUCUAGGCAUGCUCCCUAUCACGGCUAUGUUUUCAUUCAUUAGAGAUGGAGGAGGAGGCGGCUUAAAAUGUGUAAUUCUAAUCACCUAUUCCUACAGCUCUCUAACUGGUCUCCGUGGCUUCUCUUGCCUUCCUCCAGUCUUGCCCGUGAACCUUGAUUAGAGGACAACACAACACUAACAGCCACUCCUCCCUCUCCCUCCUGACUCCUUAUUUGAGUUAGAGGCUCUCGUAACACCUGCGUCUUCCCCUUUGUCAGCAGUCAUCACAACGAAUUGUGAUUGCCUAUUUACUCAUCUGCAUCUCCCACUGAAUUCUGAUCCAUGGUGGCUGGCCCAUGCCUGUCUUGUGUACAUUUGCAUGUAAACCACUUAACCCAAGUGCCAGGAAGCAAACAGUACACGCAGGUGUGUGGAGUGAUUGAAAGCUAAUUUGCUACCUAAGAAUGUACAGUGAUUCCUCAGUGUUUAUUAGAUCAGGCCCAGACUCUUCAUUUCAGUUUUCAACUCCUCUGAUUUUUCUUUUAUACAAGCUUUCAGAUCUCCUCUUGGUUCUCAUCUAGCUCUUGCAUCUUUAUGCCGUGGGUUGAUUCCUCUGCCUGCCUAUCUGUAGUAGCUUGUCUCCUAGGAUGGCUGCCAUCAAUUUCUUCUCUUCUGUAUACACAUGCCACUCCCGCAUUGAGAGAUGGAGUCUUCUUUCCCCCUGGAAUCUGGUCUGGCCUGUGACUAAUUUCAAUAAUAGAAUCUUGCAUUUCUAUUGAAACUACCAAAAAAAAAAAAUUGUGUCAGCUACUACAGCUACUAAGUUUUGGGAUGGUUUGUUAUAUGGCAAUAGAUAUCCUCAAUACCAUUCUUCAAAGUCCCAAACCUACAUUUUCUGUGAAGCCUUACCUUGCUAGUCUAGUUAACACUGAUCUCCUCCUUCUCUGAAGUUCUGUGGGAAUAGAACUUUGUUGAUGCCACACAUUUUGUUAUCCAACUGUAUGUAUUAUUACUUUUCCUUUCCUGAAUGCCAGUAUGAACUCCAUGACCAAAUUAUAUGGUCUUUGAAGAUACCAAAUAGUGGAAAUAGGUCUUUUGUAAUCCCUUCAACAAGUCCUAGUACUGAA
Molecule: long non-coding RNA, 18727 nt
Filed under: Homo sapiens (human)
Lineage: Eukaryota; Metazoa; Chordata; Mammalia; Primates; Hominidae
Description: non-protein coding lnc-MON2-2:2
Rfam family: let-7 microRNA precursor family (bases 250-336)
Source: RNAcentral